Molecule: transfer RNA, 93 nt
Filed under: Streptomyces aurantiogriseus
Lineage: Bacteria; Bacillati; Actinomycetota; Actinomycetes; Kitasatosporales; Streptomycetaceae
Description: tRNA-Thr
Source: RNAcentral
UGCCGGCCUUGGAGAGCUGGAGGUUUCCGGUCUGCCAGUAGCCGCCCACGUUGCGCAGAUUGGCGUCGAGCGGUCCGAUACCGCCGUCGGCGC